CAUAUGUUUGUUUGCUGGUGUUCAAUGGAACCUGAGGGAGGGCAUAAUGGAUCUCCGUUACUAAACCAUGUGGAAGGCUUCCAGAGAUUUAAUAGUCUACCUCGAGUCAAAUCCAAGAGUUAAGUCCUACCAUGGAAAUUGAAGCCAGUGCCUUCAGCACAAAUUUGGUGUGUAGCCAAACAUCAGGACGUUCUUGGUACCUCAAGCAAUAUUUGAAGGAGAUGAGAUGGUGAAGGCCCGAAGCCCUUCUGCAGUCGUCUUUUCGUGGACUUGUUAAGGAUCUGUGCAUGGAAUAAAUAAAUCGUAAUCUCGUAUGAGUCUUCCA
RNAcentral lists this long non-coding RNA (325 nucleotides) under Vulpes vulpes (red fox). Its description in RNAcentral is "lncRNA (ENSVVUG00000027627.1)". The record is from RNAcentral. Lineage: Eukaryota; Metazoa; Chordata; Mammalia; Carnivora; Canidae.